This is a small nucleolar RNA of Octodon degus (degu), 134 nucleotides long. Lineage: Eukaryota; Metazoa; Chordata; Mammalia; Rodentia; Octodontidae. The record is from Ensembl.
AGCCUCAUUCUAGAUUAGAAUGGGCACUGGUGGAUGGUGCUCAAAAUUGGCCAAUAUGGCUAAAAUUGAGACAUAGAUCAUGCCUCUAUCACAGUAAACAUAUUUCAGUGGUGACAAUGAGACCUGCAACAUUU